Molecule: ribosomal RNA, 434 nt
Filed under: uncultured Lachnospiraceae bacterium
Lineage: Bacteria; Bacillati; Bacillota; Clostridia; Lachnospirales; Lachnospiraceae
Description: partial 16S ribosomal RNA
Rfam family: Bacterial small subunit ribosomal RNA
Source: RNAcentral
ACGGGAGGCAGCAGUGGGGAAUAUUGCACAAUGGGGGAAACCCUGAUGCAGCGACGCCGCGUGAGUGAAGAAGUAUUUCGGUAUGUAAAGCUCUAUCAGCAGGAAAGAAAAUGACGGUACCUGACUAAGAAGCCCCGGCUAACUACGUGCCAGCAGCCGCGGUAAUACGUAGGGGGCAAGCGUUAUCCGGAUUUACUGGGUGUAAAGGGAGCGUAGACGGUAAGGCAAGUCUGAAGUGAAAUGCCAGGGCUCAACCCUGGAACUGCUUUGGAAACUGUCCUACUAGAGUGCAGGAGAGGUAAGUGGAAUUCCUAGUGUAGCGGUGAAAUGCGUAGAUAUUAGGAGGAACACCAGUGGCGAAGGCGGCUUACUGGACUGUAACUGACGUUGAGGCUCGAAAGCGUGGGGAGCAACCAGGAUUAGAUACCCUGGUA